This 216-nucleotide ribosomal RNA is filed under the name Glomeromycotina sp. RNAcentral's name for it is "partial small subunit ribosomal RNA". The stretch from base 75 to 216 matches the Rfam family "Eukaryotic small subunit ribosomal RNA", at positions 721 to 864 of the family's 1831-position model. The record is from RNAcentral. Lineage: Eukaryota; Fungi; Glomeromycota.
GGGUCAGUAGGUUGGUCGUGCCACCGGUACGUACUGGUCUCACUGAUUCCUCCUUCCCGAAGAACCGUAAUGCCAUUAAUUUGGUGUUGCGGGGAAACAGGACUGUUACUUUGAAAAAAUUAGAGUGUUUAAAGCAGGCUAACGCUUGAAUACAUUAGCAUGGAAUAAUGAAAUAGGACGAUCGAUCCUAUUUUGUUGGUUUCUAGGAUUGACGCA